UGGCCGCUUCUGAAGCAGAAUUGCUCCGAU
RNAcentral lists this small RNA (30 nucleotides) under Bombyx mori (domestic silkworm). RNAcentral describes it as "ovarian small RNA-3819". Lineage: Eukaryota; Metazoa; Arthropoda; Insecta; Lepidoptera; Bombycidae. The record is from RNAcentral.